This is a long non-coding RNA of Pezoporus flaviventris, 2213 nucleotides long. RefSeq lists it as uncharacterized. The record is from RefSeq and is a predicted model, not a curated record. The transcript is spliced from 3 exons. Lineage: Eukaryota; Metazoa; Chordata; Aves; Psittaciformes; Psittacidae.
CCCAGGCUCAGCUGCUCUGAAAUGACCCCACUCCCUGGGAGGGGGCUGCAGGAUCCAACUAUCCGGGAGGCCAAACAAGGAACGCCUUUCUUGGCAAAGGAGAAAAGGACCUGGGAGGCCUUCGCUCAGGUGACCCACCCGACCCCCAUUGCAAACAGCUAUAAAUCCUCCUGCUUCCCCACCACAGCAUUCCCGGGCACUCCUCUCACUGGAGCUGGGCCUGGCUCUGCAAAGCAUGUCACUGCUGGAUGGCCUUGGAAGGAAUGUUGUAAGUAAAUUCACAGCUGAACAACAGUGGGAAUGGAAACCCUCAGAGCUGAUGGCUGUGACAUUACAGGUCCUAAUCAGAGCAGAUACCCAUUCUCCACUCUACUGAGUAAUUAAACUUCACACUGCUGGAAGGCUCCCUGUGUUGGGCUGUGCUAUGUUACACUGACAAACAUGCACAGCAUUUCCAAAAGACAGAAUUAUCCUGAGAGACUAACAUCACCAGUCAGCUUAAAAUUUGACUGAUCAUCUGUAACAGAGUCUCGUUAACUGGUUUUCACAGAUGAGUAAGAACAGAUACUGCUGGGGUUUUUAAUUGCUACCAUCAAGCUUAAUUGGAGGUUCAAGCUGAAUGAGUGUAAGUAUACAGAGGCGGGUGUGGGAAUGUGUCCCAGAUUGCACCCACCACAUUCUUCUGGUUGUCUCUGGAAGGAGAUACCAUCAUUAUAGUAACCAUCCUUAGCCUUCCCACAGGUUUUUGGCUCGAUGGAGCCCAGAGCCUCCCUUCCCCACCUGCUGUGGACAGCCAGCAAUAACGUGUGGGAAGCUGACACUGCUCCCACCCUGUUCCUCUAGUUUGUACACACAGCAGCUUCCACAAACAGAAUGAAAUCCACAUGGAAACAUCCACCAGGAAAAAAAAAUCUCUGACAUGGAAGAGAUUGCACUGCCAAGGGGACUAGGAGCACAGAGAGGAAGAGAGCUGCUGCUGAAUUCCUGGUGUUAGGAGCAGACCCAUGUGUCAUGCUUGUGGGGAGGGAUACCUUCUCUCAUCCCAAACUGUUAUAGUACAUCCAGCAGCAAGUGCACCAGUGAUCUUGGCAAGUAUGUGUGGCCACCUAUCCAGAGAAGAAAAACACUGCUACAGACACUGAGCAGAAACAGCCUUUUGCAGGAAAUCGCCUCAAUUGCUCUUAAGAGGAAAAUGCACAAAUCUGAGAGGAACGUUUUGGGUCUCGAUAUCUGCAUUGUGUGUUGUUUUGCAGAUGAAUUCCAGGGGCAGAAGGAAGAGUGUUUAUUUAACUUUUAUCAGCAUUCCUUCUGAACUUCUUUCCGUUCUGAAUGAAAGUAAAAACUGAAAGAAUCUCCCAAGGAACGUGAUGGUUGUUGUAAUUACUGCUUUUAGCUCCCAUUUGUCCAGGAAGUGUGAAUCAUAAUUGCUCAUGUCACAGGGAAGCUCCAAACAAGCCUUUCUCUAAAUUUGUUUGUGGAAAUACUCACACUGCUUUACUUGCACAUCUCUCCUCUGGCAGGAAGGGAGCAGAAGCUGCCCUGCACUUCAUGUGUCAUCUGUAGCUAUUCUGUAAGAAAUACAUUACUGACCAAAACAGGGAUGGGACUGUGGUCAGUCCCAGGACCCUCUGUGCUUUGUUUCUCCUGUCAUUUCCAUAGGUAUCCCUUCUUUAAAAUCAAUAGAAACAGCCAAGUUGCAUCCCAAAGGGGAGUCAAGUAUUGCUAUUCCCAGUGCAGGCUCAGGGACACUGAACGUAAUACUGCCUGCUUCAACAGAACGAUUACUGUGCUUUGGUCAUGCAUGAGCAAGUUGAUUUAAGUGUAUAUGUUUGGUUCUAACCCACCCUUAAUACAUUAUAUAUUUUUUCCAGCUUUGAGAUGUUUGUACAGCACCUGGCACAGCUAAACUGAAGCCACUGCUCAGAGGGGCUGGGACCAAUGCCAUCUAUAUAAAUACUGGAAUAAUUGGGGUUAGCAGCACACUCAUGGCAGAACUCUGCCAGUUCACAUGCGUUCACAUGCAGUGUAUCACUGCUCCUUUCACACAGCAUGGAUUUCAUUAUCCAGGUGAAUAAUAGGAGGAAAGGGAGGGCUAACUUCUGAAAGCCAAGACAUAGAUAAGCAAGUUUGCCAAUGUUAGGAGGGGGUAAGCUGGUUUAGAGCAGUUACUUUGCGAAUCAGCUUGAAUCCCCUCCAAAGCCCUUGUGGUUUUG